UCAAACUUGAGAGUUUGAUCCUGGCUCAGAACGAACGCUGGCGGCAUGCCUAACACAUGCAAGUCGAACGAGACCUUCGGGUCUAGUGGCGC
Molecule: ribosomal RNA, 92 nt
Filed under: Sphingomonas sp. 28-63-12
Lineage: Bacteria; Pseudomonadati; Pseudomonadota; Alphaproteobacteria; Sphingomonadales; Sphingomonadaceae
Description: partial 16S ribosomal RNA
Rfam family: Bacterial small subunit ribosomal RNA
Source: RNAcentral